GAUGAACGCUGGCGGCGUGCCUAAUACAUGCAAGUCGAGCGAACGGACGAGAAGCUUGCUUCUCUGACGUUAGCGGCGGACGGGUGAGUAACACGUGGAUAACCUACCUAUAAGACUGGGAUAACUUCGGGAAACCGGAGCUAAUACCGGAUAAUAUCUUGAACCGCAUGGUUCAAUAGUGAAAGACGGUUUUGCUGUCACUUAUAGAUGGAUCCGCGCUGCAUUAGCUAGUUGGUAAGGUAACGGCUUACCAAGGCAACGAUGCGUAGCCGACCUGAGAGGGUGAUAGGCCACACGGGAACUGAGACACGGUCCAGACUCCUACGGGAGGCAGCAGUAGGGAAUCUUCCGCAAUGGGCGAAAGCCUGACGGAGCAACGCCGCGUGAGUGAUGAAGGUCUUCGGAUCGUAAAACUCUGUUAUUAGGGAAGAACAGAUGUGUAAGUAACUGCGCACAUCUUGACGGUACCUAAUCAGAAAGCCACGGCUAACUACGUG
RNAcentral lists this ribosomal RNA (497 nucleotides) under uncultured bacterium. RNAcentral's name for it is "partial 16S ribosomal RNA". It matches the Rfam family "Bacterial small subunit ribosomal RNA", at positions 28 to 507 of the family's 1533-position model. The record is from RNAcentral.